RNAcentral lists this ribosomal RNA (191 nucleotides) under Megamonas funiformis. RNAcentral's name for it is "partial 23S ribosomal RNA". It matches the Rfam family "Bacterial large subunit ribosomal RNA", at positions 2735 to 2925 of the family's 2925-position model. Lineage: Bacteria; Bacillati; Bacillota; Negativicutes; Selenomonadales; Selenomonadaceae. The record is from RNAcentral.
GUACAGUUGGGUAGCUACGUCCGGAAAAGAUAAACGCUGAAAGCAUCUAAGCGUGAAACUUGCCUUAAGAUGAGGUCUCCCGAAGCGAAAGCUUGAAAGACACCUUGAAGAUGAUGAGGUUGAUAGGCCAGGAGUAGAAGUUCAGUAAUGAAUGUAGCGUACUGGUACUAAUAUGUCGAGAGCUUAACUUA